RNAcentral lists this ribosomal RNA (512 nucleotides) under uncultured bacterium. RNAcentral describes it as "partial 16S ribosomal RNA". It matches the Rfam family "Bacterial small subunit ribosomal RNA", at positions 28 to 507 of the family's 1533-position model. The record is from RNAcentral.
GAUGAACGCUGGCGGCGUGCCUAAUACAUGCAAGUCGAACGAAACUUCUUUAUCACCGAGUGCUUGCACUCACCGAUAAAGAGUUGAGUGGCGAACGGGUGAGUAACACGUGGGCAACCUGCCCAAAAGAGGGGGAUAACACUUGGAAACAGGUGCUAAUACAGCAUAACCAUAGUUACCGCAUGGUAACUAUGUAAAAGGUGGCUAUACUACCGCUUUUGGAUGGGCCCGCGGCGCAUUAGCUAGUUGGUAGGGUAAAGGCUUACCAAGGCAAUGAUGCGUAGCCGAAUUGAGAGGUUGAUCGGCCACAUUGGGACUGAGACACGGCCCAAACUCCUACGGGAGGCAGCAGUAGGGAAUCUUCCACAAUGGGCGAAAGCCUGAUGGAGCAACGCCGCGUGGGUGAAGAAGGUCUUCGGAUCGUAAAACCCUGUUGUUAGAGAAGAAAGUGUGUGAGAGUAACUGUUCACGUUUCGACGGUAUCUAACCAGAAAGCCACUGCUAACUACGUG